AGGUCAUAAUGAGGACACUUCCUUAACAAAUCAAUCAAUCUUUCCCAAGCCUCAUAGAAUGGCUCUCCAUAAUUUUGAGAGAAUCCCAUAAUGGCCAUCCGCAUUU
This is a small nucleolar RNA of Cornus florida, 106 nucleotides long. The record is from RefSeq and is a predicted model, not a curated record. NCBI's taxonomy places the organism in Eukaryota, Viridiplantae, Streptophyta, Magnoliopsida, Cornales, Cornaceae.